This 276-nucleotide ribosomal RNA is filed under the name uncultured Desulfobacterium sp. Its description in RNAcentral is "partial 16S ribosomal RNA". It matches the Rfam family "Bacterial small subunit ribosomal RNA", at positions 1106 to 1382 of the family's 1533-position model. Lineage: Bacteria; Pseudomonadati; Thermodesulfobacteriota; Desulfobacteria; Desulfobacterales; Desulfobacteriaceae. The record is from RNAcentral.
UAUCUCUAGUUGCCAGCGAUUCGGUCGGGGACUCUAGAGAGUACUGCCCCGGUUAACGGGAGGAAGGUGGGGAUGACGUCAAGUCCUCAUGGCCCUUAUGCCCAGGGCUACACACGUGCUACAAUGGGCGGUACAAAGGGUAGCGAUGCCGCGAGGCGAAGCCAAUCCCAAAAAGCCGUCCUCAGUUCGGAUUGGAGUCUGCAACUCGACUCCAUGAAGCCGGAAUCGCUAGUAAUCGCGGAUCAGCAUGCCGCGGUGAAUACGUUCCCGGGCCUU